This 440-nucleotide ribosomal RNA is filed under the name uncultured bacterium. RNAcentral describes it as "partial 16S ribosomal RNA". It matches the Rfam family "Bacterial small subunit ribosomal RNA", at positions 338 to 795 of the family's 1533-position model. The record is from RNAcentral.
CCUACGGGGGGCAGCAGUGGGGAAUAUUGCACAAUGGGGGAAACCCUGAUGCAGCGACGCCGCGUGAGUGAAGAAGUAAUUCGUUAUGUAAAGCUCUAUCAGCAGGGAAGAAAAUGACGGUACUUGAGUAAGAAGCCCCGGCUAACUACGUGCCAGAAGCCGCGGUCAUACGUAGGGGGCAAGCGUUAUCCGGAUUUACUGGGUUUAAGGGUUGCGUAGGCGGUCAGGUAAGUUAGAGGUGAACGCUCGAUGCUCAACAUCGAAACUGCCUCUGAUACUGUCUGACUAGAGUGUAGUUGCGGAAGGCGGAAUGUGUGGUGUAGCGGUGAAAUGCUUAGAUAUCACACAGAACACCGAUUGCGAAGGCAGCUUUCCAAGCUAUUACUGACGCUGAGGCACGAAAGCGUGGGGAGCGAACAGGAUUAGAUACCCCGGUAGUC